GGAGAGAUGCAGGAGCGGCUUAACUGGCAUGACUGGAAAUCAUGUGUGGCAGCAAUGUCACCGAGGGUUCGAAUCCCUCUCUCUCCGCCA
RNAcentral lists this transfer RNA (90 nucleotides) under Deltaproteobacteria bacterium. RNAcentral describes it as "tRNA-Ser". It matches the Rfam family "tRNA". From Rfam's summary of the family: Transfer RNA (tRNA) molecules are approximately 80 nucleotides in length. Their secondary structure includes four short double-helical elements and three loops (D, anti-codon, and T loops). Lineage: Bacteria; Pseudomonadati; Myxococcota; Myxococcia. The record is from RNAcentral. RNAcentral also lists the same sequence under 1 other name.